RNAcentral lists this ribosomal RNA (583 nucleotides) under uncultured bacterium. RNAcentral describes it as "partial 16S ribosomal RNA". It matches the Rfam family "Bacterial small subunit ribosomal RNA", at positions 355 to 935 of the family's 1533-position model. The record is from RNAcentral.
UGGGGAAUUUUGGACAAUGGGCGAAAGCCUGAUCCAGCAAUGCCGCGUGUGUGAAGAAGGCCUUCGGGUUGUAAAGCACUUUUGUCCGGAAAGAAAUCCUUGGCUCUAAUACAGUCGGGGGAUGACGGUACCGGAAGAAUAAGCACCGGCUAACUACGUGCCAGCAGCUGCGGUAAUACGUAGGGUGCAAGCGUUAAUCGGAAUUACUGGGCGUAAAGCGUGCGCAGGCGGUUUGCUAAGACCGAUGUGAAAUCCCCGGGCUCAACCUGGGAACUGCAUUGGUGACUGGCAGGCUAGAGUAUGGCAGAGGGGGGUUAGAAUUCCACGUGUAGCAGUGAAAUGCGUAGAGAUGUGGAGGAAUACCGAUGGCGAAGGCAGCCCCCUGGGCCAAUACUGACGCUCAUGCACGAAAGCGUGGGGAGCAAACAGGAUUAGAUACCCUGGUAGUCCACGCCCUAAACGAUGUCAACUAGUUGUUGGGGAUUCAUUUCCUUAGUAACGUAGCUAACGCGUGAAGUUGACCGCCUGGGGAGUACGGUCGCAAGAUUAAAACUCAAAGGAAUUGACGGGGUCAUAGCUGUUU